UUAACUUGCGAAGCUUGAAAAGUCAUUCUCUUCACGUGGUUAAUUUGGAAGUUAUCCAAUGUAUGUAAAAACAUGAAUCAGAAGCAAAUUGAUGAAAUCGGAGGGAAAAAAUGUUACUUAGUAAUUGUAUAUGUUAUGAAGGCAUCAAAUAAAGUCCUGAUAAAAUACCAGCAUCUUUAUAUUAACCACUUUACAUAUAAAUUAUAAAUGAUUAUCAAACAUCCUUAAACAAAUUUCAUUUAGGGAAGACUGAUGAGGGAACUCCGCCUAUGUAAUUUUACAUUGCCGGUCCCAAGCCCGGAUAAAGGAGGAGGGGGAGGGCGUCAGGUAGUCGACAGCCUGCACUCCAUGAUCACGUCGAAUCCUUAUGAAAAUGAAUCCAGAACAAAAUCGCGCUAAAGCUAGGGCGUCACCCGUAAGUGGCGCGCUGUGUGGCCCGAGCACAGUGAUAAGUGAGCAAGGGUCGCUGUAUCUCCAUCGGCACCCGGAUGCAGUGUUAAAUGAGCAAGGGGGCCGUAGAAACUUCUUUUCGAACGACUCCACUCAAAGUUGUUUGGGAGCAUAUGCUCCUAUCAACUUUACACGGGACACACAAAAGAAGUACUUUGAUCCUAUUAGACGGGGGAGGGUGAAGAAGCUAGGACAGAAGGGUAGAGUUCAAGAGAGCAAAAUGCGUUUAGGAACGUGGAAUAUAGGAACCUUAACGGGAAAAUCUAUGGAAGUAGUGGAAGUUAUGGUGAGGAGAAGGAUAAAUAUUAUGUGCCUACAAGAAACUAAGUGGGUUGGUAGUAAGGCAAAUGAUCUAGAAAACUCAGGGUUUAAACUUUGGUAUUCGGGCACAAAUAGAACGAGAAACGGUGUUGGCAUCAUCGUGGACAAGACCUUGACACAAGAUGUUGUAGAUGUCAAGAGGGUAGGAGAUAGAAUCAUGGCAAUCAAGAUUGUAAUAGGACAAGAACUUAUCAAUGUGAUUAGUGCGUACGCACCUCAAGUAGGGUUGGAUACGAGUUCGAAGGAGAAAUUUUGGGAAGACCUUGGAGACUUGGUGCAAGGAAUUGCUCAGACGGAGAAGUUAUUUAUAGGAGGAGAUCUAAAUGGACACGUGGGCAGGGAGACAGGCAACUAUGGAGGUUUUCAUGGUGGCCAUGGUUUUGGAGAGAGAAACGAGGAUGGGGAAGCUAUCUUGGAUUUUGCAAUGGCAUAUGAUCUCUUCUUAGCCAACACCUUCUUUAAGAAGAGAGAAGAACAUGUGAUCACCUACAAGAGUGGGUCGUCAAAAACACAAAUAGAUUUUCUUCUAAUGAGGAAAGGGGAUCGUAUAACUUGUAAGGAUUGCAAAGUUAUACCAGGAGAGAGCGUGGCUAAUCAACAUCGCUUGUUGGUGAUGGAUGUACAUAUCAAAAGAGGGAGACAAAAGAACAAGACUUGGAAGUGCCCAAGGACUAGAUGGUGGAAUCUAAAAGAAGAAAAACAAGCCAUUUUCAAAGAGAAGGUAAUCACCCAAUGUGUGUGGGAUAGAGAGGGGGAAGCUAGCCAAAUGUGGGAUUCCAUGGCUAGUUGUAUCCGAAAAGUAGCAAAAGAGGUAUUAGGAGAGUCCAAGGGCUUUGCCCCACACCAAAAGGAAUCUUGGUGGUGGAAUGAGGAGGUACAAACAAAGGUGAAGGCUAAGAAGGAAUGUUGUAAAGCCUUAUACAAGGAGAGGACCGAUGAAAAUGGUGAAAGGUAUAGAAAAGCGAAGCAAGAGGCGAAGAAAGCGGUCAGAGAAGCUAAGUUAGCGGCUUACGACGAUAUGUAUAAACGACUAGAUACCAAAGAAGGAGAGUUGGAUAUCUAUAAAACUAGCUAGAGCAAGGGAAAAGAAGACAAGGGACCUAAACCAAGUGAGGUGCAUCAAGGAUGAGGAUGGAAAGGUUCUUGCUACAGAGAACGCGGUUAAAGACAGAUGGAGAGGUUAUUUUCAUAAUAUUUUCAAUGAAGGACAUGAAAGGAGUGCUUCUUUAGGGGAGUUGAGUAACUCAGAAGAGUGUAGAAACUACUCUUUUUAUCGUCGAAUCCGGAAGGAAGAAGUGGUUGUAGCUUUGAAGAAGAUGAAGCAUAGAAAAGCAAUAGGCCCAGACGAUAUACCAAUUGAAGUGUGGAAAGUUUUGGGAGAGACAGGUAUAACAUGGCUCACUGACCUUUUCAAUAGGAUUUUGAAAACAAAGAAGAUGCCAAAUGAGUGGCGAACGAGCACUUUGGUGCCUAUCUACAAGAAUAAGGGCGACGUACAAAAUUGCAUGAACUAUAGGGGUAUUAAGUUAAUGAGUCAUACAAUGAAGCUCUGGGAGAGAGUCAUUGAGCAUAGAUUGAGGCAAGAGACACGGGUUUCGGACAACCAAUUCGGGUUCAUGCCAAGGCGCUCAACCAUGGAGGCAAUCUAUCUCUUACGAAGAUUGAUGGAAAGAUAUAGAGAUGGGAAAAAGGAUUUACACAUGGUCUUUAUAGAUUUGGAAAAAGCGUAUGAUAGGGUCCCAAGAGACAUUCUUUGGAGGAUCUUAGAGAAGAAAGGAGUACGAGUAGCAUAUAUCCAAGCUAUAAAGGAUAUGUAUGAAGGAGCAAAGACUGCCGUAAGAACUCAUGAAGGACAAACCGAAAGCUUUCCCAUAACUGUAGGAUUACAUCAAGGCUCAUCCUUAAGUCCUUACCUUUUUGCGUUGGUAAUGGAUGAGUUAACAGGACAUAUUCAAGAUGAUAUUCCUUGGUGUAUGCUUUUCGCAGACGAUAUAGUGUUGAUAGAUGAAACUCAGGAAGGGGUAAAUGCAAAGCUUAACCUUUGGAGAGAAGUGUUGGAAUCUAAAGGUCUUCGCCUAAGCCGAUCAAAGACAGAAUAUAUGGAGUGCAAGUUCAGUGCAGAUGGAGGCCAAAACGAGUUAGGGGUGAGGAUCGGAGAUCAAGAAAUACCAAAGAGCGACCGUUUUCGUUACCUAGGAUCUAUCUUGCAAAAGAACGGAGAAUUAGAUGGAGAUCUCAACCAUAGAAUACAAGCUGGAUGGAUGAAGUGGAAGAGUGCAUCUGGCGUGUUGUGUGAUCGCCGUAUGCCAUUGAAGCUCAAGGGAAAAUUUUAUAGGACGGCAAUAAGGCCGGCGAUGCUGUAUGGCACAGAAUGUUGGGCGGUGAAGCAUCAACACGUACACAAAAUGGGUGUAGCGGAGAUGAGGAUGCUUCGUUAGAUGUGUGGGCACACGAGAAAGGAUAAAAUUAGGAAUGAGGAUAUCCGGGGUAAAGUAGGAGUAGCCGAAAUUGAAGGAAAGAUGAGAGAAAAUCGGUUACGGUGGUUUGGACAUGUGCAAAGAAGGCCUACUGACGCUCCGAUUAGAAGAUGCGACUAUGGGACAGAGGUUCAGGGCCGAAGGGGUAGAGGAAGACCUAGGAAAACUUUGGAAGAGACUCUAAGAAAAGACUUAGAGUACUUGGAUCUAACGAAGGACAUGACACAGGACCGAGCACAAUGGGACGUUCUAAGGCGUUCUAAUUCAUAUAGCCGAUCCCACUCAGUGACUUGGAUUUUCCAAGUCUCCAACCGAGAAGUUUUCCUCACUCGAAAAAUUAAGGGAACACUACCCCAACCUACAUGCUCCACUCAGAAAGCUUCAACAUACAAGCUUCAACAAAAGAAAAUUCAAAAGAACUUAGUGAAGAAGGCUUUGGUGUAUUUAACACAAUACGUUGAAAUGAAGGAAAACUUAUUUAUUGAUAUCCCCGAUAAGCUACAAAUAUGUACAUAUACAUGAGUCAAAAUAAACAAACAAGAUGGAGCCUUCACAAAGGUUGCUUAGGAGAAGUCUCAGCAGUCGGUAGAGCCCCAGAAAGAGAAGGCAUCGGAGGGGGAUCAUUCGGAGCCUCAGUACUGGACAGAACCCUAGAAGGAGGAGGCAUCAGAGGUUGAUCAUUUGGAGCUUCAUUACGCGGUACAGCCCCAGAAGACGAAGGCAAUAAAUGCCUUUGGAACAAACCCACAAAUCUCUGAUGAUCAAGUAAAACCUGACCAUCAGUUUCCUUCAUCUGGUCAAGCUUCCUCUUUCAUGUUUGUAGCAUAGUCAUGUGCGAGCCGGUGCAACUGUUUAUUCUCAUGCUUGAGCCCUCUAAUCUCCUGUUUGAGACUCAUCACUUCGGCCGCCAAUGAUUUCAACUUGGCGGGUUCGAGCAAAUAUAGGCGUUGGGCCAUAUUAGACACAGAACCUGCACACUGAACACUGAGAGCCAGUGAAUCCUUAACAGCUAACUCAUCAGACCGUUUGGAAAGUAGUCUGUUAUCUUUGGGAGUGAGAAGGUUCCUGGCCACCACCGCAGCGGUCAUAUCAUUCUUCAUCACGGAAUCCCCAACGGUAAGAGGACCAGUAGGGGAGACGAAGGAUGGGCGCCAUAUGUUGUCUGGAGAAGGCGGGGCUGCCUCUUCAACAAGGUUCAAGUCAAAACGACGGUCGGAGGGGCCAGACAUUUUCAAAGGGUAUUGAAGAGAGAAGAGGUCGGACAAAUCAAGAUCUUAGAAGUGCAAGAAUGGAGCUUCUACUGGUGGAGAUUCAAGUGUGCUUUGGAACUUAAUGCCAGCCCCUAUAAAAAGCUGCACUCGACGGAGCUUCAGACAUCGAAGAGGCGCCUGCUCAGAAAUCGAAGAGGCGUUUGCUUUCUCAAAAGCUGGGCUGCUUAGAGACCACGAGGGUUGAUCUCAUAAAUCGAAGAGGUGUCUGCUUUCUCAAAAGUUGGGCUGCUCAAAGACCACGAAAGCCGAUAUCAGAAAUCGAAGAGGCGCUCGCUUCCUCAAAAGCUGGGCUCCUCAGAGACCACGAGGGCCGAUCUCAGAAAUCGAAGAGGCACCUACUUUUCCAGCCUUGUCAGCACCUGUCACACGCACACUCAACUUUGCGGAAAUUAUGGGUAUUCUGUUGAAGACUUCUGGGGAAGUAGAAAACACAUGAAUCUUACUGUCCAAUCACCCACUUCCCACACGCAGCAAUAGCUCAUGGGUACCACAGAUAACUUUGCCAAAGUUCUCUGCCAAAGUUGAGCACGUGAAGCUUGCAGCUCCCACUACAUCGCUCUGACCAAUAAGGGUAAAAGAAUAGCAAAGAAACAGCACUAACAAAGUUUAGACCCAUAAAUUUUGAAGGUCUAGCUACCAUAUUAUUACCCACAAGGGUAAAGGAACAGUACCACUGUUGGAUAAUUGGAAAGUCCCUGUGUGUCAACCUCUGUGCCUCGUGGCAAGGUAGACUAGCAAACAUGCCCAACCUUUACUCACAUUCGAGAAAACACUCCCAAUAAGAUUGCUUGCUCCAAAAUCGAAGAGGCACCGUCCUCCGAAUCUCGAGAGCCAGACUCCCAACAUGACUACUUUCUCAAAAAUCGAAGAGAGGGUAAAGGAAACAGUACCAUUGCUGGAUAAUUGGAAAGUCCCUGUGUGUCAACCUCUGUGCUUCGUGGCAAGGUAGACUAGCAAACAUGCCCAACCUUUACUCUCACAUUCGAGAAAAACACUCCCAACAAGAUUGCUUGCUCCCAAAAUCGAAGAGGCACCGCCCUCCGAAUCUCGAGAGCCAGACUCCCAACAUGAUUACUUUCUCAAAAAUCGAAGAGACACUGCUCCCCGAAUCUCGAGAGCCAGACCCCCACCCCCAACAUGAUUGCUUUCUCAAAAAUCGAAGAGGCAUCGUUCUCCCGAAUCAAUCGAAGAGGCGCUCGCUUUCUCUCAAAAGCUGGGCUGCUCAGAGACCACGAGGGCCAAUCUCAGAAAUCGAAGAGGCACCUUCUUUUUCUAGCCUUGUCAGCACCUGUCACACGCACACUUAGCUUUUGCGGAAAUUAUGGGCAUUCUGUCGAAGACUUCUGGUGAAGUAGAAAGCACAUGAAUCUUACUGUUCAAUCACCCACUUCCCACACGCAACAAUAGCUCAGGGGUACCACAGAUAACUUUGUCAAAGUCUCUGCCAAAGUUGAGCACGUGAAGCUUGCAGCUCCCACUACAUCGCUCUGACCAAUAAGGGUAAAAGAAUAGCAAAGAAACAGCACUAACAAAGUUUAGACCCAUAAAUUUUGAAGGUCUAGCUACCAUAUUAUUACCCACAAGGGUAAAGGAACAGUACCAUUGCUGGAUAAUUGGAAAGUCCCUGUGUGUCAACCUCCGUGCUUCGUGGCAAGGUAGACUAGCAAACAUGCCCAACCUUUACUCACAUCCGAGAAAACACUCCCAACAAGAUUGCUUACUCCAAAAUCGAAGAGGCACCGCCUUCCGAAUCUCGAGAGCCAGACUCCCAACAUGAUUACUUUCUCAAAAAUCGAAGAGACACUGCUCCCCGAAUCUCGAGAGCCAGACCCCCACCAUGAUUGCUUUCUCAAAAAUCGAAGAAGCAUCGUUCUCCGAAUCUCGAGAGCCAGAUACCACAUACCACUUUUUCAAAGUGCUCUGACAGAGUUAAAACAUGUGAAGCUGGCAGCUCCCACUACCGUGCUAUGACCAAGCAGGGUAAAGGAAUAGCAUUACUACUUGUUGUUAGGGAGACUCCUAUAUAUGUCGACCUCCAUCCCCAACGGACAGGCAGACCUGCAAAAAUGCUCAACCCUUCCUCAUAUCUGAGAGGGCACUCCCAACGAAGCCUUUCGAAAUAUUCAGCUUUCUUUCCCCCCGAUAAUACCUUUGCAAACAAGCUAUACUAGAGCAAGAAUAUCUCAUAUCAUCAGGGUUAAAAGCAAGAGUAUCCCAUAUCAUGCUUUUUCCCUGUCUUUUCCUUUGGCCUUGUUUUUACCUGCAAGACAAGGAGAAAGAGAGCAAUCAGUCAGCACUUGAAAUCAAGCUUCCAGCCAGGAACUGACAGCCUGGAACCCCUUACCUGAUUACUUACCUGGCAUUGCUCUCGAGUACUCAUCUUCAACAUCUUAUGUUGCCAGGGAAGAUACCGCAUCUGCUUGAGGAACAGAUAGGGCAAGUGCGAAGGAUACAAGGAAGCAUGUGGAGACAAGCGUAACAGCACACGUGCCGAUCCAUCCAUUACUCUGUCAAAAGCAAAAGUAUCCCAUAUCAGCAGGGCCGAACGUACUCUAGAUUUGAUGGACUUGUUUUGACCCUCAAAUUCUUCAGUCGGCCUUAUACUCUGGAGGAAACCAGAAAACCCUCCAGCUCAGUUCAAGAAUAAGCCUGUGGAAAGUUACUUCUUCAAAAGCAAAAGUAUAUCCCAUAUCAUCUCUUCUCAUUUUUCUUCUCUUUAUCCUUCAUGCUGCUGCAAGAUGGGGAGAAGGUGAACAAUCAGCCGGAGCUCUGAUUGCUUACCUUGUCUGUCACCUCUUUCAGCAAAUCCCCUAGCUCGGCGACUUGGGGGACUCCUACUACAUGGUUUGUAUCGCGCUUGACCAAGCCUGAAACUACAAGUAAGCUUCAAGUGAAAUUGAUACAUUACCUAGUGCAUCUCCACCAGUUAAAGAUACCACCCCUGGAUGGAGGAAGAGUACUUCCAGAGAGCUGCCACAUCUACCUAUGAGACAGAUAAGGCAAGUCAAGAUGAUACCACACUCCGAUACUUAGAAGUUUCGUGAUUACGAGAUCAUUCUCCCACAAUAUUUCCUAAUGUCAUUUGUACUCACUAAAGGAGAGCUUGAACCUAUGUACUUGUGUAAACCCUUCACAAUUAAUGAGAACUCUUCUAUUCCGUGGACGUAGCCAAUCUGGGUGAACCACGUACAUCUUGUGUUUGCUUUCCUAUCUCUAUCCAUUUAUAUACUUAUCCACACUAAUGACCGGAGCAAUUUAGCGAAGAUCACAAAAAGCGACCGUUUUCGCUACCUAGGAUCUAUCUUACAAGAGAACGGAGAAUUAGAUGGAGAUCUCAACCAUAGAAUACGAGCUGGAUGGAUGAAGUGUAAGAGUGCAUCCAGCAUGUUGUGUGACCGUCGUAGGCCACUGAAGCUCAAGGGAAAAUUUUAUAAGACGGCAAUAAGGCCAGCGAUAUUGUAUGGCACAGAAUGUUGGGCGGUGAAACAUCAACACGUACACAAAAUGGGUGUAGCAGAGAUGAGGAUGCUUCGUGGGAUGUGUGGGCACACGAGAAAGGAUAAGAUUGAGAAUGAGGAUAUCCGAGGUAAAGUAGGAGUAGCCGAAAUUGAAGGAAAGAUGAGAGAAAUCGGUUUUGGUGAUUUGGACAUGUGCAAAGAAGGCCGACUGACGCUCUGGUUCGAAGAUGUGACUACGGGACAGAGGUUCAGGGCCGAAGGGGUAGAGGAAGACCUAGGAAAACUUUGGAAGAGACUCUAAGAAAAGGCUUAGAGUACUUGGAUCUAACGGAGGACAUGACACAAAACCAAGCGCAAUGGCGUUCUAGGAUUCAUAUAGCCGACCCCACUUAGUGGGAAAAGGCUUUGUUGUUGUUGUUGUUGUUGUUGUUGAAGACUGAUGAGGGGAUAUACGACUCACAAACAACUGAGACUGUCCUUUUUUUUUUCUUCUUUUUUUCAUAUCAACAAACACACAAAUUCUUAUAUUUCCGAAAGCACUUGCAUCCCAACAUAAAAACUUAAAUAAUACAUGAAUCAUCGAUGUUUUGCUUUGCAAACAGCCAAGGGGAUGGGAACUAAAAUAAAUUUCGUGACCAAGAACCUCUUAAAAACCAAGCUUGAAAGCAUAAAAACAAAGCUUUCAAUCUUUCUGUGCAAAUUAAUAUCAUAAUCAAUUCAACCACAUUUCCGCAAUCCAAAGCUUCAAACUUCAUACAAAAAUACAAUAAUUUUUAGAAUUUCACCCAAACAUAAAGAGAAUAAUAUUGUUAGGUGCGGAGAAGAAAAAACCAGGGAAAAAUGGAAGAUGGAUUUUAGCCUGGAAAAGCAAUUCACAGCAACAAUAAAAAGGUGAAAUUAAAAACUCAAUUGAAUCAAAUGAAGAAUUUUCUAGAGUGCAAACAAUUAGUGUUAUCAGCAAGAAGUUUCAGACCAUAAAAUGCAAAAGCAUGUGCCCAAAAUGCAAUCCUAUAAAACAUGAAACAGCAGCCAUAAGAUAAUCGGAAAUUUUCUAAUAAAAUGAACCGAAGACCAACUUUGAAUAAUUGGUAACGAUGAGGCUUUGACAUUGAUAGAGUGUGUAUGAGAGAGAGAGAGAGAGAGAGAGAGAGAGAUGGAAAUAGAGUUAGAAUUAGACCAAUGCAGAAAUCAAC
This 9170-nucleotide long non-coding RNA is filed under the name Malus domestica (apple). RNAcentral's name for it is "long non-coding RNA (MDOM_LNC007054)". Lineage: Eukaryota; Viridiplantae; Streptophyta; Magnoliopsida; Rosales; Rosaceae. The record is from RNAcentral.